This 1277-nucleotide ribosomal RNA is filed under the name marine metagenome. Its description in RNAcentral is "bacterial LSU rRNA". It matches the Rfam family "Bacterial large subunit ribosomal RNA", at positions 1669 to 2925 of the family's 2925-position model. The record is from RNAcentral.
GAGAUGAGUAUUCUAAGGCGCUUGAGAGAACUCAGGAGAAGGAACUCGGCAAAUUGACACCGUAACUUCGGAAGAAGGUGUGCCUUUAGUAGGUGAAGUCCCUCGCGGAUGGAGCCCAAUGAGGUUGCAAAAAAUCGGUGGCUGCGACUGUUUAAUAAAAACACAGCACUCUGCAAACACGAAAGUGGACGUAUAGGGUGUGACGCCUGCCCGGUGCUGGAAGGUUAAUUGAUGGGGUUAGCGCAAGCGAAGCUCUUGAUCGAAGCCCCAGUAAACGGCGGCCGUAACUAUAACGGUCCUAAGGUAGCGAAAUUCCUUGUCGGGUAAGUUCCGACCUGCACGAAUGGCGUAACGAUGGCCACACUGUCUCCUCCUGAGACUCAGCGAAGUUGAAAUGUUUGUGAUGAUGCAAUCUCCCCGCGGAAAGACGGAAAGACCCCAUGAACCUUUACUGUAGCUUUGUAUUGGACUUUGAACAGAUCUGUGUAGGAUAGGUGGGAGGCUUUGAAGCCGGGACGCUAGUCUCGGUGGAGCCAACGUUGAAAUACCACCCUGGUGUGUUUGAGGUUCUAACCUAGGUCCAUUAUCUGGAUCGGGGACAGUGCAUGGUAGGCAGUUUGACUGGGGCGGUCUCCUCCCAAAGUGUAACGGAGGAGUUCGAAGGUACGCUAGUUACGGUCGGACAUCGUGAUAAUAGUGCAAUGGCAUAAGCGUGCUUAACUGCGAGACUGACAAGUCGAGCAGAUGCGAAAGCAGGACAUAGUGAUCCGGUGGUUCUGUAUGGAAGGGCCAUCGCUCAACGGAUAAAAGGUACUCUGGGGAUAACAGGCUGAUACCGCCCAAGAGUUCAUAUCGACGGCGGUGUUUGGCACCUCGAUGUCGGCUCAUCUCAUCCUGGGGCUGUAGCCGGUCCCAAGGGUAUGGCUGUUCGCCAUUUAAAGAGGUACGUGAGCUGGGUUUAAAACGUCGUGAGACAGUUUGGUCCCUAUCUUCCGUGGGCGCUGCAGAUUUGAGGAAGCCUGCUCCUAGUACGAGAGGACCGGAGUGGACACACCUCUGGUGUAUCGGUUGUCACGCCAGUGGCAUUGCCGAGUAGCUAAGUGUGGAAGAGAUAACCGCUGAAAGCAUCUAAGCGGGAAACUCGUUUCAAGAUGAGAUCUGCCGGGGCCUUGAGCCCCCUAAAGAGUCGUUCAAGACCAGGACGUUGAUAGGUCAGGUGUGGAAGCGCAGUAAUGCGUUAAGCUAACUGAUACUAAUUGCUCGUGCGGCUUGACCCU